GAUGAACGCUGGCGGCGUGCCUAAUACAUGCAAGUCGAGCGAACAGACGAGGAGCUUGCUCCUCUGACGUUAGCGGCGGACGGGUGAGUAACACGUGGAUAACCUACCUAUAAGACUGGGAUAACUUCGGGAAACCGGAGCUAAUACCGGAUAAUAUAUUGAACCGCAUGGUUCAAUAGUGAAAGACGGUUUUGCUGUCACUUAUAGAUGGAUCCGCGCCGCAUUAGCUAGUUGGUAAGGUAACGGCUUACCAAGGCAACGAUGCGUAGCCGACCUGAGAGGGUGAUCGGCCACACUGGAACUGAGACACGGUCCAGACUCCUACGGGAGGCAGCAGUAGGGAAUCUUCCGCAAUGGGCGAAAGCCUGACGGAGCAACGCCGGGGGAGUGAUGAAGGUUUUUGGAUCGUAAAACUCUUUUAUUAGGGAAAAAAAAAUGGGUAAGUAACUAUGCACGUUUUGACGGUACCAAAUCAGAAAGCCACGGCCAACUACGU
This 496-nucleotide ribosomal RNA is filed under the name uncultured bacterium. RNAcentral describes it as "partial 16S ribosomal RNA". It matches the Rfam family "Bacterial small subunit ribosomal RNA", at positions 28 to 506 of the family's 1533-position model. The record is from RNAcentral.